RNAcentral lists this transfer RNA (73 nucleotides) under Acidobacteriota bacterium. RNAcentral's name for it is "Acidobacteria bacterium (rhizosphere metagenome) tRNA-Ala". It matches the Rfam family "tRNA". Rfam says of the family: Transfer RNA (tRNA) molecules are approximately 80 nucleotides in length. Lineage: Bacteria; Pseudomonadati; Acidobacteriota. The record is from RNAcentral. RNAcentral also lists the same sequence under 4 other names.
GGGGAUGUAGCUCAGCUGGGAGAGCACCUGCUUUGCAAGCAGGGGGUCGCCAGUUCGAAUCUGGUCAUCUCCA